GAUUUCUUACGUUUUGGAGCUGGACUGCAGGGAUGCAAACUCGUCACCUUUCGGAGAAAUGUACCGCUUUUAAUAAAACAAUUCGGUGACCUAUGUGAUUCGUGUAGAUCCGAUGAGAAACGUUUUGGGGAAAGAGGCUUUGAAUCACUACUGGCUGUAAGCGAACGAGUGAUGCGCGUUUGGAGCAAUACUGGCUGUUCCCAAGGCUCAGCCAAUCGUUCACAUAACAGAAUGCAGCACGAAGAGAUAAGAGACAGGCAAUUUCCUAGUUACAGUAUCAGCGUGCACCCUGGAAAGACAGCGGAAAGCCGUCAGUUUGCCAGCUACAGGCCCCUGAACGAUGACGAAGAGGUUGGUCAGAAGGUGAUGAAGUGUAAAAACAACUGGCAAAUAGAACGUUUUAGGUGAGGGAGAUUAAGUAUCUUGCUCGCUGGAUCGAAUUAUCCGUUAGCUAGCCAGAGAAACGUGGAGCAACAUUAGCCAAUUUAACUGAUCAAAUAUUUGAGUUUGUGUGAAGAUUAGCUGGCUAAUAAAGUCAGACAGCACAACAUAAGAUGAGCUAACGUUAGUAACCUAACCAAUUCGCUAUAGUAUUAACGUUAACUGGUAUACGACUCCUUACCGUUCAAGUUCUAAUGCCUUAGUUGCUUAUUGGAACCAGGCAACCUGUUUGAAAUGUUAACUAACAAACUAGCUAACGAGGUUUCACUCUCGCCAAAAUUGGACGCAGCUGCAGGGAAUAGCGGGACUUUUUCUCAACACAUUGCAGAGGUAAAGAUAGUAGAUUGAUUUGUUUUGGUAACUGAUCUACAACGUUAAAUUAAACUAAACUAUAGUUUAGCACGCCCUUUAUGUUGGAACAUUCUUCGAACACACAGUAGGCCUUGCUUUGAGUGGGACACACAUAAUUAUUAACAUAACUAUUAAACUCGGACAAAACAGAGAUGCUUGUUCUAGGUCCCAAAAAACAAAGAGAUCUUCUGUUGAAUCAGACAAUUAAUCUUAAUGGUUGUACAGUCGUCUCAAAUAAAACUGAAGGACCCCGGCGUUACUUAUUAUUAUUAUUAUUAUUAUAUUACUCUGGACCCUGAUCUCUCUUUUGAAGAACAUAUUAAGACCAUUUCGAGGACAGCUUUUUUCCAUCUACGUAAUAUUGCAAAAAUCAGAAACUUUCUGUCCAAAAAUGAUGCAGAAAAAUUAAUCCAUGCUUUUGUCACUUCUAGGUUAGACUACUGCAAUGCUCUACUUUCCGGCUACCCGGAUAAAGCACUAAAUAAACUUCAGUUAGUGCUAAAUACGGCUGCUAGAAUCCUGACUAGAACCAAAAAAUUUGAUCAUAUUACUCCAGUGCUAGCCUCUCUACACUGGCUUCCUGUCAAAGCAAGGGCUGAUUUUUAAGGUUUUACUGCUAACCUACAAAGCAUUACAUGGGCUUGCUCCUACCUAUCUCUCUGAUUUGGUCCUGCCGUACAUACCUACACGUACGCUACGGUCACAAGACGCAGGCCUCCUAAUUGUCCCUAGAAUUUCUAAGCAAACAGCUGGAGGCAGGGCUUUCUCCUAUAGAGCUCCAUUUUUAUGGAACGGUCUGCCUACCCAUGUCAGAGAAGCAAACUCUGUCUCAACCUUUAAGUCUUUACUGAAGACUCAUCUCUUCAGUGGGUCAUAUGAUUGAGUGUAGUCUGGCCCAGGAGUGGGAAGGUGAACGGAAAGGCUCUGGAGCAACGAACCGCCCUUGCUGUCUCUGCCUGGCCGGUUCCCCUCUUUCCACUGGGAUUCUCUGCCUCUAACCCUAUUACAGGGGCUGAGUCUCUGGCUUACUGGGGCUCUCUCAUGCCGUCCCUGCAGGGGGUGCGUCACCUGAGUGGGUUGAUUCACUGUUGUGGUCAUCCUGUCUGGGUAGGCGCCCCCCCCACUUGGGCUGUGCCGUGGCGGAGAUCUUUGUGGGCUAUACUCAGCCUUGUCUCAGGAUGGACCUGAGCCCUAGGACCAUGCCCCAGGACUACCUGACAUGACGACUCCUUGCUGUCCCCAGUCCACCUGGCCAUGCUGCUGCUCCAGUUUCAACUGACCUGAGCCCUAGGACCAUGCCCCAGGACUACCUGACAUGAUGACUCCUUGCUGUCCCCAGUCCACCUGGCCAUGCUGCUGCUCCAGUUUCAACUGUUCUGCCUUACUAUUAUUCGACCAUGCUGGUCAUUUAUGAACAUUUGAACAUCUUGGCCAUGUUAUGUUAUAAUCUCCACCCGGCACAGCCAGAAGAGGACUGGCCACCCCACAUAGCCUGGUUCCUCUCUAGGUUUCUUCCUAGGUUUUGGCCUUUCUAGGGAGUUUUUCCUAGCCACCGUGCUUCUACACCUGCAUUGCUUGCUGUUUGGGGUUUUAGGCUGGGUUUCUGUACAGCACUUUGAGAUAUCAGCUGAUGUACGAAGGGCUAUAUAAAUAAAUUUGAUUUGAUAAUUUUAUAUGUUGCAGGAUGUCUUGCAGAUAAGUGCCUCCUGUGGUUAUGGUCUGUGAUUCACUCUAGCAUAAGAUUUCCACUCGGCGUUAUGAAUUGGUGAAUGCGGCCAAAUGCUACUACAUGCACAGACACUAGUUUCUUCUCUGGCAGUGAGUCUGGAUCUGAGUAACUCCCCAACCUGUCACUGAAUCUGAACACACUCAGGGGGUCUGAUUGGUCCAGAAACCGAUGGGUUGGGCCAAAGCCAGAACACGUAGGUAAAGAGUAGAGGUCGCCCUAUUAAUCGGCAGUUUUGGAUGCCGAUUACAUUGCACUCCACGAGGAGACUGCGUGGCAGGCUGACCACCUGUUAUACGAGUGCAGCAAGGAGCCAAAGUAAGUUGCUAGCAUUAAACUUAUCGUAUUAAAAAAAACUAUACAUCUUAACAUAAUCACUAGUUAACUAAACAUGGUUGAUGAUAUUACUAGCUUGUCCUGCAUUGCAAAUAAUCAAUGUGGGAGGAGUUAACACUUGGGCGGAGUUAACAGUUAACACUUAAUGUAUCAUCAAAUCACAGCCUACUUUGCCAAACGGGUGAUGAUUUAACAAGCGCAUUUGCAAAAAAGCACUGUCGUUGCACCAAUGUACCUAACCAUAAACAUCAAUGCCUUUCUUAAAAUCAAUACAUAAGUAUAUAUUUUUAAACCAGCAUAUUUAGUUAAAAGAAAUUCAUGUUAGCGGGCAAUAUUAACUUGGGAAAUUGUGUCACUUCUCUUGGGUUCAGUGCAAGCAGAGUCGGGGUAUAUGCAGCAGUUUGGCUCGUUGCGAACUGUGUGAAGACCAUUUCUAACAGACUAAUUAAUUUGCCAAAAUUGUACAUAAUUAUGACAUCACAUUGAAGGUUGUGCAAUGUAACAGCAAUAUUUAGACUUAUGGAUGCCACCCGUUCGAUAAAAUACGGAACGGUUCUGUAUUUCACUGAAAGAAUAAACAUUUUGUUUUGAUAGUU
Long non-coding RNA from Oncorhynchus keta (chum salmon), 3450 nucleotides. RefSeq lists it as uncharacterized. NCBI's taxonomy places the organism in Eukaryota, Metazoa, Chordata, Actinopteri, Salmoniformes, Salmonidae. The record is from RefSeq and is a predicted model, not a curated record. The transcript is spliced from 2 exons.